RNAcentral lists this ribosomal RNA (440 nucleotides) under uncultured bacterium. RNAcentral describes it as "partial 16S ribosomal RNA". It matches the Rfam family "Bacterial small subunit ribosomal RNA", at positions 338 to 795 of the family's 1533-position model. The record is from RNAcentral.
CCUACGGGUGGCUGCAGUAGGGAAUAUUGCACAAUGGGGGAAACCCUGAUGCAGCGACGCCGCGUGAGUGAAGAAGGUUUUCGGUACGUAAAGCCCUUUUAGUAGGGAAGAAAAUGACGGUAUCUAACGAAUAAGCCCCGGCUAACUACGUGCCAGCAGCCGCGGUAAUACGGAGGGGGCAAGCGUUACUCGGAAUUACUGGGCGUAAAGGGAGCGUAGGCGGGAGAGCAAGUCAGGUGUGAAAUCCCAUGGCUUAACCAGAGAACUGCAUUUGAAACUGUUAGUCUAGAGUAUGGGAGGGGUAGGUGGAAUUCUUGGUGUAGGGGUAAAAUGCGUAGAGAUUAGGAGGAACACUGAUUGCGAAGGCGACCUGCUAGAACAUAACUGACGUUGAGGCGCGAAAGCGUGGGGAGCAAACAGGAUUAGAUACCCCAGUAGUC